UACAUGUGGGGCGAGCGUUGUUCGGAAUUACUGGGCAUAAAGGGUGCGUAGGCGGCUUGUUAAGUCAGGGGUGAAAGUUUUCGGCCCAACCGGAAAAUGGCCUUUGAUACUGGCGAGCUUGAGUGCGUGAGGGGUGACCGGAACGAGUGGUGUAGCGGUGAAAUGCGUAGAGAUCACUCGGAAGGCCAAAGGCGAAGGCAGGUCACUGGUGCGCAACUGACGCUGAGGCACGAAAGCGUGGGGAGCAAACAGG
Molecule: ribosomal RNA, 253 nt
Filed under: uncultured bacterium
Lineage: Bacteria
Also listed under: 1 other name
Description: partial 16S ribosomal RNA
Rfam family: Bacterial small subunit ribosomal RNA
Source: RNAcentral